RNAcentral lists this ribosomal RNA (807 nucleotides) under uncultured bacterium. RNAcentral describes it as "bacterial SSU rRNA". It matches the Rfam family "Bacterial small subunit ribosomal RNA", at positions 64 to 882 of the family's 1533-position model. The record is from RNAcentral.
CGACGGGACAGAAUGAAACCUAGUGAUUUCUGUUUCAGUGGCGGACGGGUGAGUAACGCGUGGGUAACCUGCCUUGCACUGGGGGAUAACACUUAGAAAUAGGUGCUAAUACCGCAUAAGCGCACAAUACCGCAUGGUAGAGUGUGAAAAACUCCGGUGGUGCAAGAUGGACCCGCGUCUGAUUAGCCAGUUGGCGGGGUAACGGCCCACCAAAGCGACGAUCAGUAGCCGGCCUGAGAGGGUGAACGGCCACAUUGGGACUGAGACACGGCCCAAACUCCUACGGGAGGCAGCAGUGGGGAAUAUUGCACAAUGGGGGAAACCCUGAUGCAGCAACGCCGCGUGAGUGAAGAAGUCAUUCGUGAUGUAAAGCUCUAUCAGCAGGGAAGAAAAUGACGGUACCUGACUAAGAAGCCCCGGCUAACUACGUGCCAGCAGCCGCGGUAAUACGUAGGGGGCAAGCGUUAUCCGGAUUUACUGGGUGUAAAGGGAGCGUAGACGGCGAGACAAGUCUGAAGUGAAAUGCCAGUGCUCAACACUGGAACUGCUUUGGAAACUGCCUGGCUGGAGUGCGGGAGAGGUAAGUGGAAUUCCUAGUGUAGCGGUGAAAUGCGUAGAUAUUAGGAGGAACACCAGUGGCGAAGGCGGCUUACUGGACCGUAACUGACGUUGAGGCUCGAAGGCGUGGGGAGCAAACAGGAUUAGAUACCCUGGUAGUCCACGCGGUAAACGAUGAUUACUAGGUGUCGGGGAGCUAGAGCUCUUCGGUGCCGCCGCAAACGCAAUAAGUAAUCCACCUGGGGAGUA